GGAGAGGUGACCGAGUGGACGAAGGUGCACGAUUGGAAAUCGUGUGAGGGGCAACUCUCCGCGGGUUCGAAUCCCGCUCUCUCCGCCA
Molecule: transfer RNA, 88 nt
Filed under: Deltaproteobacteria bacterium
Lineage: Bacteria; Pseudomonadati; Myxococcota; Myxococcia
Description: tRNA-Ser
Rfam family: tRNA
About the family: Transfer RNA (tRNA) molecules are approximately 80 nucleotides in length. Their secondary structure includes four short double-helical elements and three loops (D, anti-codon, and T loops).
Source: RNAcentral